RNAcentral lists this ribosomal RNA (252 nucleotides) under uncultured bacterium. RNAcentral's name for it is "partial 16S ribosomal RNA". It matches the Rfam family "Bacterial small subunit ribosomal RNA", at positions 524 to 776 of the family's 1533-position model. The record is from RNAcentral.
UACGUAGGUCCCGAGCGUUGUCCGGAUUUAUUGGGCGUAAAGCGAGCGCAGGUGGUUUAUUAAGUCUGGUGUAAAAGGCAGUGGCUCAACCAUUGUAUGCAUUGGAAAGUGGUAGACUUGAGUGCAGGAGAGGAGAGUGGAAUUCCAUGUGUAGCGGUGAAAUGCGUAGAUAUAUGGAGGAACACCGGUGGCGAAAGCGGCUCUCUGGCCUGUAACUGACACUGAGGCUCGAAAGCGUGGGGAGCAAGCAGG